CAGGUAGCGGGGCCGGUCUGGGCGACAGGUCCGGGAGCGGCGGCGAGAGGAGCCGGGACCGCGGCGGGUCGAACGGCGGGCAGUGGUAACUCCUUCCCGGUGCUGGCAGCAGCACGAAGAAAAGAAAAAAGUGAAGAAAAGGGAUGGAGAGCCUGAGAGAAAGAUGUGAAUCUGGGUUUGGCAAGUGGGAGUGCUACAGACAUCAGCAGGGAUGGAACAUUCACUGAGCACACGCUCAAAGCCAGCCCAGCCCUGCAGAGGACUCCCCUGGCCAUUGUCUUGUGCUCACAGAGCGGCUUGGACCCAGCACCGGACAGCGGGCAGCGGGCACUGGAGAGCAGAGAGCGGGAGCGGAAAGCGGGCAGCGGGCACUGGAGAGCGGGCAGCG
This is a long non-coding RNA of Serinus canaria (Common canary), 388 nucleotides long. RefSeq lists it as uncharacterized. The transcript has 3 exons. NCBI's taxonomy places the organism in Eukaryota, Metazoa, Chordata, Aves, Passeriformes, Fringillidae. The record is from RefSeq and is a predicted model, not a curated record.